GGAGACAGGUAGGCAACAAGUGCAGAGGAGCAAGGCAUGAAGCCCAGACACAGCGUGUUGGCUUUAAUGGAGCAUCACUUUGCAGAGUGUUAAGGGUUGCUGAUGGGGAGGCGGCACCUGGAUCAGUCGAUACAGAAUGCCUGCCUUACUACCUUGAGACCAGGGUGCGUUUCUGCAGGACAUUGAACCUCAGGGACUCCCAACAUCAACAGCUGAAGCUCAACACCACGGUGACUCUCAAAUUUAAAUGAAAUUUAAGACUCCUGGGUUCCAUGAGCCUCUCCCAGGUCCCAGAGUUUGGACAAAGCUCCCAUCCGGUCACUUGGGCUUUGCUCACACAGCAAGUUCCUUGCCAUGUAAGACAAUCCCUGUUACCGACCUUUAACCUCUGCUGGCUACGUUACACCCAAAGGAGCCAGGAAAGACUUCCUCUUGGCAUGGGGACUUUUUGUCACAGCAGUUACACCAAAAGGAUACUAGAUUCAAGCUGAAUCCUGAGAGACUUCAUGGACCAAGAUGUUAUGACUUCAGAGACCAGAGUGGACAAUCCCAUAACAUGACGCACAUUAUCAUCCUGGAGUCUGCUGCAUAACAGAAACCAGGAGUACACCAAGAAAAAAAAAACACGAAGAAAGAAACUAUGUAUCUCCUGGUUCUGCUUUGGUUUCAGCCAUUCCUCCUGUGCUAGAUUUCCAUGGAUGUCUGUUGCUAUAUUGAUUUCCUGUGUUCGCUUGGGUAAGUCCCCAGUAAGUAGGUAGUUUGAAAUAAUAAAAGCUUAUUUUAUUGCA
Peromyscus maniculatus bairdii (prairie deer mouse) is the source of this 788-nucleotide non-coding RNA. Lineage: Eukaryota; Metazoa; Chordata; Mammalia; Rodentia; Cricetidae. The record is from RefSeq and is a predicted model, not a curated record.